UCGAGAAUCUUUCGCAAUGGGCGCAAGCCUGACGAAGCGACGCCGUGUGAGCGAAGAAGGCCUUCGGGUUGUAAAGCUCUUUCGCUAGGGAACAAGAAAGGCAGAAUAAUAAGUUGCCAAUUUGAUGGUACUUGGUAAAGAAGCACCGGCUAACUCCGUGCCAGCAGCUGCGGUAAUACGGAGGGUGCAAGCAUUGAUCGGAAUUACUGGGCGUAAAGGGCGCGUAGGCGGCUUUAAAAGUCGGAUGUGAAAUUCCGGGGCUCAACCCCGGAGCUGCAUUUGAAACUCUAAAGCUAGAGUACAGUUAGGGAAAACAGAAUUCCACGUGUAGCGGUGAAAUGCGUAGAUAUGUGGAAGAAUACCGGUGGUGAAGACGGUUUUCUGGGCUGAAACUGACGCUGAGGCGCGAAAGCAAGGGGAGCAAACAGG
This 429-nucleotide ribosomal RNA is filed under the name uncultured bacterium. RNAcentral's name for it is "bacterial SSU rRNA". It matches the Rfam family "Bacterial small subunit ribosomal RNA", at positions 355 to 776 of the family's 1533-position model. The record is from RNAcentral.